GAUGAGCGCUGGCGGCGUGCCUAAUACAUGCAAGUCGAACGCUGGAAAUCUAGCUUGCUAGAUUGAAGGAGUGGCAAACGGGAGAGUAAUACAUAAGCAACCUACCCACGAAGACUGGGAUAAUCUCUGGAAACGGGGACUAAUACCGGAUAGGUAAUCGGAAGGCAUCUUCUGAUUAUUAAAGGUUAAAAACACUGGUGGAUGGGCUUAUGGCGCAUUAGUUAGUUGGUGAGGUAACGGCCCACCAAGACGAUGAUGCGUAGCCGGCCUGAGAGGGUGAACGGCCACAUUGGGACUGAGACACGGCCCAGACUCCUACGGGAGGCAGCAGUAGGGAAUUUUCGGCAAUGGGGGAAACCCUGACCGAGCAACGCCGCGUGAGUGAUGACGGCCUUCGGGUUGUAAAGCUCUGUUGUAAGGGAAGAACGGUAGAUAGAGAAUAUCUAAAUGACGGUACCUUACCAGAAAGCCACGGCUAACUACGU
This 485-nucleotide ribosomal RNA is filed under the name uncultured bacterium. RNAcentral's name for it is "partial 16S ribosomal RNA". It matches the Rfam family "Bacterial small subunit ribosomal RNA", at positions 28 to 506 of the family's 1533-position model. The record is from RNAcentral.